RNAcentral lists this non-coding RNA (28 nucleotides) under Homo sapiens (human). Lineage: Eukaryota; Metazoa; Chordata; Mammalia; Primates; Hominidae. The record is from RNAcentral.
UGAUAAACCCCAGGUGCAGGAGGACGGU